UUCCAGACUCCUACGGGAGGCAGCAGUGAGGGAUAUUGGGCAAUGGGGGAAACCCUGACCCAGCGACGCCGCGUGAGGGAAGACGGUCUUCGGAUUGUAAACCUCUGUCUUUGGGGACGAAAAAGGACGGUACCCAAGGAGGAAGCUCCGGCUAACUACGUGCCAGCAGCCGCGGUAAUACGUAGGGGGCGAGCGUUAUCCGGAUUCACUGGGCGUAAAGGGAGCGCAGGCGGCACGGCAAGUCCGGUGUGAAAGCCCGGGGCCCAACCCCGGGACUGCACUGGAAACUGCCGGGCUGGAGUGUCGGAGGGGCAGGCGGAAUUCCUAGUGUAGCGGUGAAAUGCGUAGAUAUUAGGAGGAACACCGGUGGCGAAGGCGGCCUGCUGGACGACGACUGACGCUGAGGCUCGAAAGCGUGGGGAGCAAACAGGAUUAGAUACCCGAGUA
RNAcentral lists this ribosomal RNA (447 nucleotides) under uncultured bacterium. RNAcentral's name for it is "bacterial SSU rRNA". It matches the Rfam family "Bacterial small subunit ribosomal RNA", at positions 329 to 792 of the family's 1533-position model. The record is from RNAcentral.